GACGAACGCUGGCGGCAGGCUUAACACAUGCAAGUCGAACGGUAACAUGAGAGCUUGCUCUUGAUGACGAGUGGCGCACGGGUGCGUAACACGUAUGCAACCUACCCUUAACAGGGGGAUAGCCCGGAGAAAUCCGGAUUAAUACCCCAUAGUAUCUUCAUUUCGCAUGUUAUGAAGAUUAAAGCUUCGGUGGUUAAGGAUGGGCAUGCGGGACAUUAGUUUGUUGGUGAGGUAACGGCUCACCAAGACUACGAUGCCUAGGGGUUCUGAGAGGAUGAUCCCCCACACUGGUACUGAGAUACGGACCAG
RNAcentral lists this ribosomal RNA (309 nucleotides) under uncultured bacterium. RNAcentral describes it as "bacterial SSU rRNA". It matches the Rfam family "Bacterial small subunit ribosomal RNA", at positions 28 to 334 of the family's 1533-position model. The record is from RNAcentral.